Molecule: ribosomal RNA, 1200 nt
Filed under: metagenome
Description: bacterial SSU rRNA
Rfam family: Bacterial small subunit ribosomal RNA
Source: RNAcentral
GGACUGAGACACUGCCCAGACUCCUACGGGAAGCUGCAGUCGAGGAUCAUUCGCAAUGCGCGAAAGCGUGACGAUGCGACGCUGCGUGGAGGAUGAAGGCCUUCGGGUCGUAAACUCCUGUCAUGAGGGAACAGCCGGCGAUGGGGUAAUACCCCAUGGCUCCGAUGGUACCUCAAGAGGAAGCCACGGCUAACUCUGUGCCAGCAGCCGCGGUAAUACAGAGGUGGCGAGCGUUGUUCGGAUUUACUGGGCGUAAAGGGUGCGUAGGUGGUAUCGUAUGUCGGAUGUGAAAUCCCAUGGCUCAACCAUGGAAUUGCAUUCGAAACUGCGGAACUAGAGUGCAGGAUGGGAGAGCGGAAUUCUUGGUGUAGCGGUGAAAUGCGUUGAUAUCAAGAAGAACACCGGUGGCGAAGGCGGCUCUCUGGAAUGUUACUGACACUGAGGCACGAAAGCUGGGGGAGCAAACAGGAUUAGAUACCCUGGUAGUCCCAGCCGUAAACGGUGCACACUUGGUGUGGGGAGAUUUAACCCUCUCCGUGCCGGAGUUAACGCGUUAAGUGUGCCGCCUGGGGAGUACGGCCGCAAGGCUAAAACUCAAAGAAAUUGACGGGGGCCCGCACAAGCGGAGGAGCAUGUGGCUUAAUUCGAUGCAACGCGAAGAACCUUACCAGGGCUUGACAUAUACCUGCACGCCCCUCGAAAGGGGGGAAGCCUUUGAGGGUGGUAUACAGGUGCUGCAUGGCUGUCGUCAGUUCGUGCUGUGAGGUGUUGGGUUAAGUCCCGUAACGAACGCAACCCUUGUGGUUAGUUGCCACCGGCGGUGAUGAGCCGUCGAGCACUCUAGCCAGACUGCCCGUACAAGCGGGAGGAAGGUGGGGAUGACGUCAAGUCAGUAUGGCCCUUACGCCCUGGGCUGCACACGUGCUACAAUGGACGGUACAAUGGGCUGCAAUACCGCGAGGUGGAGCAAAUCCCCAAAGCCGUCCCCAGUUCGGAUUGGAGUCUGCAACUCGACUCCAUGAAGUUGGAUUCGCUAGUAACGGCGCAUCAGCUACGGCGCCGUGAAUACGUUCCCGGGCCUUGUACACACCGCCCGUCACAUCAUGAAAGCCGUCUGCACCCGAAGUCGUUGAUCCAACCCGCAAGGGAGGAAGGCGCCGAAGGUGUGGGUGGUGAUUGGGAUGAAGUCGUAACAAGGUA